GGUUAAGCGACUAAGCGUACACGGUGGAUGCCCUGGCAGUCAGAGGCGAUGAAGGACGUGCUAAUCUGCGAUAAGCGUCGGUGAGGUGAUAUGAACCGUUAUAACCGGCGAUUUCCGAAUGGGGAAACCCAGUGUGUUUCGACACACUAUCAUUAACUGAAUCCAUAGGUUAAUGAGGCGAACCGGGGGAACUGAAACAUCUAAGUACCCCGAGGAAAAGAAAUCAACCGAGAUUCCCCCAGUAGCGGCGAGCGAACGGGGAGGAGCCCAGAGCCUGAAUCAGUGUGUGUGUUAGUGGAAGCGUCUGGAAAGGCGCGCGAUACAGGGUGACAGCCCCGUACACAAAAAUGCACAUACUGUGAGCUCGAUGAGUAGGGCGGGACACGUGGUAUCCUGUCUGAAUAUGGGGGGACCAUCCUCCAAGGCUAAAUACUCCUGACUGACCGAUAGUGAACCAGUACCGUGAGGGAAAGGCGAAAAGAACCCCGGCGAGGGGAGUGAAAAAGAACCUGAAACCGUGUACGUACAAGCAGUGGGAGCCUCUUAAUGGGGUGACUGCGUACCUUUUGUAUAAUGGGUCAGCGACUUAUAUUCUGUAGCAAGGUUAACCGAAUAGGGGAGCCGAAGGGAAACCGAGUCUUAACUGGGCGUUAAGUUGCAGGGUAUAGACCCGAAACCCGGUGAUCUAGCCAUGGGCAGGUUGAAGGUUGGGUAACACUAACUGGAGGACCGAACCGACUAAUGUUGAAAAAUUAGCGGAUGACUUGUGGCUGGGGGUGAAAGGCCAAUCAAACCGGGAGAUAGCUGGUUCUCCCCGAAAGCUAUUUAGGUAGCGCCUCGUGAAUUCAUCUCCGGGGGUAGAGCACUGUUUCGGCAAGGGGGUCAUCCCGACUUACCAACCCGAUGCAAACUGCGAAUACCGGAGAAUGUUAUCACGGGAGACACACGGCGGGUGCUAACGUCCGUCGUGAAGAGGGAAACAACCCAGACCGCCAGCUAAGGUCCCAAAGUCAUGGUUAAGUGGGAAACGAUGUGGGAAGGCCCAGACAGCCAGGAUGUUGGCUUAGAAGCAGCCAUCAUUUAAAGAAAGCGUAAUAGCUCACUGGUCGAGUCGGCCUGCGCGGAAGAUGUAACGGGGCUAAACCAUGCACCGAAGCUGCGGCAGCGACACUAUGUGUUGUUGGGUAGGGGAGCGUUCUGUAAGCCUGCGAAGGUGUGCUGUGAGGCAUGCUGGAGGUAUCAGAAGUGCGAAUGCUGACAUAAGUAACGAUAAAGCGGGUGAAAAGCCCGCUCGCCGGAAGACCAAGGGUUCCUGUCCAACGUUAAUCGGGGCAGGGUGAGUCGACCCCUAAGGCGAGGCCGAAAGGCGUAGUCGAUGGGAAACAGGUUAAUAUUCCUGUACUUGGUGUUACUGCGAAGGGGGGACGGAGAAGGCUAUGUUGGCCGGGCGACGGUUGUCCCGGUUUAAGCGUGUAGGCUGGUUUUCCAGGCAAAUCCGGAAAAUCAAGGCUGAGGCGUGAUGACGAGGCACUACGGUGCUGAAGCGACAAAUGCCCUGCUUCCAGGAAAAGCCUCUAAGCAUCAGGUAACAUCAAAUCGUACCCCAAACCGACACAGGUGGUCAGGUAGAGAAUACCAAGGCGCUUGAGAGAACUCGGGUGAAGGAACUAGGCAAAAUGGUGCCGUAACUUCGGGAGAAGGCACGCUGAUAUGUAGGUGAAGUCCCUCGCGGAUGGAGCUGAAAUCAGUCGAAGAUACCAGCUGGCUGCAACUGUUUAUUAAAAACACAGCACUGUGCAAACACGAAAGUGGACGUAUACGGUGUGACGCCUGCCCGGUGCCGGAAGGUUAAUUGAUGGGGUUAGCGCAAGCGAAGCUCUUGAUCGAAGCCCCGGUAAACGGCGGCCGUAACUAUAACGGUCCUAAGGUAGCGAAAUUCCUUGUCGGGUAAGUUCCGACCUGCACGAAUGGCGUAAUGAUGGCCAGGCUGUCUCCACCCGAGACUCAGUGAAAUUGAACUCGCUGUGAAGAUGCAGUGUACCCGCGGCAAGACGGAAAGACCCCGUGAACCUUUACUAUAGCUUGACACUGAACAUUGAGCCUUGAUGUGUAGGAUAGGUGGGAGGCUUUGAAGUGUGGACGCCAGUCUGCAUGGAGCCGACCUUGAAAUACCACCCUUUAAUGUUUGAUGUUCUAACGUGGGCCCGUAAUCCGGGUUGCGGACAGUGUCUGGUGGGUAGUUUGACUGGGGCGGUCUCCUCCUAAAGAGUAACGGAGGAGCACGAAGGUUGGCUAAUCCUGGUCGGACAUCAGGAGGUUAGUGCAAUGGCAUAAGCCAGCUUGACUGCGAGCGUGACGGCGCGAGCAGGUGCGAAAGCAGGUCAUAGUGAUCCGGUGGUUCUGAAUGGAAGGGCCAUCGCUCAACGGAUAAAAGGUACUCCGGGGAUAACAGGCUGAUACCGCCCAAGAGUUCAUAUCGACGGCGGUGUUUGGCACCUCGAUGUCGGCUCAUCACAUCCUGGGGCUGAAGUAGGUCCCAAGGGUAUGGCUGUUCGCCAUUUAAAGUGGUACGCGAGCUGGGUUUAGAACGUCGUGAGACAGUUCGGUCCCUAUCUGCCGUGGGCGCUGGAGAACUGAGGGGGGCUGCUCCUAGUACGAGAGGACCGGAGUGGACGCAUCACUGGUGUUCGGGUUGUCAUGCCAAUGGCACUGCCCGGUAGCUAAAUGCGGAAGAGAUAAGUGCUGAAAGCAUCUAAGCACGAAACUUGCCCCGAGAUGAGUUCUCCCUGACCCUUUAAGGGUCCUGAAGGAACGUUGAAGACGACGACGUUGAUAGGCCGGGUGUGUAAGCGCAGCGAUGCGUUGAGCUAACCGGUACUAAUGAACCGUGAGGCUUAACCUU
RNAcentral lists this ribosomal RNA (2902 nucleotides) under Escherichia coli. RNAcentral describes it as "23S ribosomal RNA". It matches the Rfam family "Bacterial large subunit ribosomal RNA". Lineage: Bacteria; Pseudomonadati; Pseudomonadota; Gammaproteobacteria; Enterobacterales; Enterobacteriaceae. The record is from RNAcentral.